CCUACGGGCUGCUGCAGUGGGGAAUAUUGGACAAUGGGCGAAAGCCUGAUCCAGCCAUGCCGCGUGUGUGAAGAAGGCCUUCGGGUUGUAAAGCACUUUCAGUGGGGAAGAAAGCCUUGGGGCUAAUACCCUCGAGGAAGGACAUCACCCACAGAAGAAGCACCGGCUAACUCCGUGCCAAGCAGCCGCGGUAAUACGGAGGGUGCGAGCGUUAAUCGGAAUUACUGGGCGUAAAGCGCGCGUAGGCGGUCUGAUAAGCCGGUUGUGAAAGCCCCGGGCUCAACCUGGGAACGGCAUCCGGAACUGUCAGGCUAGAGUGCAGGAGAGGAAGGUAGAAUUCCCGGUGUAGCGGUGAAAUGCGUAGAGAUCGGGAGGAAUACCAGUGGCGAAGGCGGCCUUCUGGACUGACACUGACGCUGAGGUGCGAAAGCGUGGGUAGCAAACAGGAUUAGAUACCCCGGUAGUC
This 466-nucleotide ribosomal RNA is filed under the name Vreelandella stevensii. RNAcentral describes it as "partial 16S ribosomal RNA". It matches the Rfam family "Bacterial small subunit ribosomal RNA", at positions 338 to 795 of the family's 1533-position model. The record is from RNAcentral. Lineage: Bacteria; Pseudomonadati; Pseudomonadota; Gammaproteobacteria; Oceanospirillales; Halomonadaceae.